UACGUAGGUGGCAAGCGUUGUCCGGAAUUAUUGGGCGUAAAGCGCGCGCAGGCGGUCCUUUAAGUCUGAUGUGAAAGCCCACGGCUCAACCGUGGAGGGUCAUUGGAAACUGGGGGACUUGAGUACAGAAGAGAAGAGUGGAAUUCCACGUGUAGCGGUGAAAUGCGUAGAGAUGUGGAGGAACACCGGUGGCGAAGGCGACUCUUUGGUCUGUAACUGACGCUGAGGCGCGAAAGCGUGGGGAGCAAACAGG
This 253-nucleotide ribosomal RNA is filed under the name uncultured bacterium. RNAcentral describes it as "partial 16S ribosomal RNA". It matches the Rfam family "Bacterial small subunit ribosomal RNA", at positions 524 to 776 of the family's 1533-position model. The record is from RNAcentral.